RNAcentral lists this unclassified non-coding RNA (235 nucleotides) under plant metagenome. RNAcentral's name for it is "partial contains small subunit ribosomal RNA, internal transcribed spacer 1, and 5.8S ribosomal RNA". The record is from RNAcentral.
UUUCCGUAGGUGAACCUGCGGAAGGAUCAUUACCGAGUGAGGGCCCUCUGGGUCCAACCUCCCACCCGUGUUUAUCGUACCCUGUUGCUUCGGCGGGCCCGCCGCAAGGCCGCCGGGGGGCAUCUGCCCUCUGGCCCGCGCCCGCCGAAGACACCAUUGAACGCUGUCUGAAGAUUGCAGUCUGAGCAAUUAGUUAAAUAACUUAAAACUUUCAACAACGGAUCUCUUGGUUCCG